Molecule: ribosomal RNA, 425 nt
Filed under: uncultured bacterium
Lineage: Bacteria
Description: bacterial SSU rRNA
Rfam family: Bacterial small subunit ribosomal RNA
Source: RNAcentral
GGGGAAUAUUGGACAAUGGGCGCAAGCCUGAUCCAGCAAUGCCGCGUGUGUGAAGAAGGCCUGUGGGUUGUAAAGCACUUUCAGAGGGGAGGAAGGCAUUAGCUUUAAUAAAGCUGAUGAUUGACGUUACCCUCAGAAGAAGCACCGGCUAACUCUGUGCCAGCAGCCGCGGUAAUACAGAGGGUGCAAGCGUUAAUCGGAAUUACUGGGCGUAAAGGGUGUGUAGGUGGUAAUGUAAGUUAGGUGUGAAAUCCUCGGGCUUAACCUGAGAAUUGCGCUUAAUACUGCAUUUCUAGAGUACUGCAGAGGGCAGUGGAAUUUCCAGUGUAGCGGUGAAAUGCGUAGAUAUUGGAAGGAACACCAGUGGCGAAGGCGACUGCCUGGAUAGAUACUGACACUGAGACACGAAAGCGUGGGUAGCAAAC